CGGAGAGAAACAAGUGGACGUGUUGCCAUUAGUUCCCAUGUGACCGGAUGUCACAAACUGCUCAGUUACGCUUUUAUAAUCCAUGAUGCUUCUUUUUAAACCAUAGCCGGUUGUGAGUUGAAAAGUCUUAAAACUAUUUUGUGUUCGGACGGACGGGCGUGAAGUUCCGUUUACUGUUGACGUACGGGCGGAAACGUGACCCAAAAUGUAGGAACGUAUGAAUGGAAACACAAGUGUCCCAGUGUGAGGAACUAACGCCGUCCUGUGUGUGUUCAUCAAACUCAUACAGAUGUUUUCUCAUUGGCUGAUUGUGCGAAUGUCAAGGUUAUGAUGACUCAUUGUCUGACGAAGAAAGAGCUCGAUGAACAGUUCGAGCAGUUCUUGAAAGAGUCUGUUUCAGAUGAGUCCUUGGAUUUUGGUGGCUCACAGCCAGACCCCAAAACCCACCAGAAAACGACCCCCAAAACAGUGCCAUGGUGGGAGAAUGAUGAAGCCAGCAGCUCAACAAAUGGAGUGGAGCUGAUCAGCUGUGUGUACCGAAGGUGAAUGACGACAUGACCCAGUCCGCCUCCUUUGCUUCAGACCACCUUCAUUGACACACUACGAGC
RNAcentral lists this long non-coding RNA (608 nucleotides) under Gouania willdenowi (blunt-snouted clingfish). RNAcentral describes it as "lncRNA (ENSGWIG00000010738.1)". Lineage: Eukaryota; Metazoa; Chordata; Actinopteri; Blenniiformes; Gobiesocidae. The record is from RNAcentral.